GUAACAUCUUUGUUGGCAGUCACACAUGCGCAGUAGCUAGGUAAGAUCACAUCAUCUAGCUAGCUGUUUGUUUCUACAACUUCAGUAGUACAAGGCAGGAUUAGCCGGGAGACUUCUUCUAAACAAGGGCACACUUCCAACUUUGCGUGGAAUACCAGCAGAAUAGGGACAUCUUGACAGUGAUGGUGAGAGGAGAGCGGUGGUGACUGCACAUCGGGGCUUAAAUGAAAGAGGAUGUUUGGAGAUCUCAGACAGCUGGCAGGAUUAUUCAUCCCCUUCUUCCACAGAGUGUUCUGUCUGCAGUCAGGGCGCUUCCUCCUGAGCCAGCGGCAUCAUGGGAGGUUCCACCUCCUCCCUCGUUGACGAAACACACAGGCUUUGUAGCUUCAGAGAGACGUCAGCCAUGACACUUUGAAGUGUGGAGUCUUUCUAAUGACGUAUUUUCACAGUCUGAUACUUGAACAGUUUUACAACAAGCUGAGGGUUUCUCGACUUGCUAAGUUAUCUUUUAAACUGACAAACAUCAUAUGUGUAAUUCAUGGCUCAAUUCAAACAAGAGCCAAAUAAAUGUUGGUGUCUCCUCUUGGAUGGCCAGUGAGGACGUGACCCGUUGAUUCCUCCUGCAGGUGGACACAGAUCGUCAGAGGACCAAACCUUUGCUCUUUCUGUGAGCCACCGUCAGAGACGAGAGAGACCAACCUGACAGAAGUAGUCUAGAUCAAACAUGCUGAUUGGUUUAAAGUUGAUGUCUCAUUCUGAGUCUUCUGCUGAGUCAGGAUACAUUCAGUUAAAAUUCAUUCAUUAGUCUUCUUCCUAAGUUUUCAGUUUUUCUCGUAGCUUUUCAAAUCAUUUCCCCAUCACUAAUAGUUUCACUUCAACAGGUAGUCUGUGUUCAUAUCUCAUUCAUUUCUG
RNAcentral lists this long non-coding RNA (912 nucleotides) under Sander lucioperca (pikeperch). RNAcentral describes it as "lncRNA (ENSSLUG00000011500.1)". The record is from RNAcentral. Lineage: Eukaryota; Metazoa; Chordata; Actinopteri; Perciformes; Percidae.